UGCCAGCAGCCGCGGUAAUACGGAGGGGGUUAGCGUUGUUCGGAAUUACUGGGCGUAAAGCGCGCGUAGGCGGCUUUGUAAGUCGGAUGUGAAAGCCCCGGGCUCAACCUGGGAAUGGCAUUCGAUACUGCAUAGCUAGAGUAUGGUAGAGGGAAGUGGAAUUUCCGGUGUAGCGGUGAAAUGCGUAGAUAUCGGAAGGAACACCAGUGGCGAAGGCGACUUCCUGGGCCAAUACUGACGCUGAGGUGCGAAAGCGUGGGGAGCAAACAGGAUUAGAUA
Molecule: ribosomal RNA, 279 nt
Filed under: uncultured bacterium
Lineage: Bacteria
Description: partial 16S ribosomal RNA
Rfam family: Bacterial small subunit ribosomal RNA
Source: RNAcentral